UGGGGCGUCGCCAAGCGGUAAGGCAGCAGGUUUUGAUCCUGCCAAUCGGUGGUUCGAAUCCAUCCGCCCCAGCCA
RNAcentral lists this transfer RNA (75 nucleotides) under Nevskiaceae bacterium. Its description in RNAcentral is "Sinobacteraceae bacterium tRNA-Gln". It matches the Rfam family "tRNA". From Rfam's summary of the family: Transfer RNA (tRNA) molecules are approximately 80 nucleotides in length. Lineage: Bacteria; Pseudomonadati; Pseudomonadota; Gammaproteobacteria; Nevskiales; Nevskiaceae. The record is from RNAcentral.